Molecule: long non-coding RNA, 191 nt
Organism: Nanorana parkeri
Lineage: Eukaryota; Metazoa; Chordata; Amphibia; Anura; Dicroglossidae
Exons: 2
Source: RefSeq, a predicted model, not a curated record
AUCAUUUGAUGAGUGCAGGAAUGAGAGGACAUGGGGAGGCUUCACCCUCUUCACAGGAGCUGGGAUAUGGAAGUUCACCAAUAUCAGCUGCCAUCUAAAGCAAGAGUUGGAGGCUGGAACACAUAAGGAUUCAACAAAUCAACUUCCUGAUCUUGCUGGAAGAUAUUUUUGAGCCAACAUUUAGCAUUUCU